This 74-nucleotide transfer RNA is filed under the name Phaeobacter phage MD18. It matches the Rfam family "tRNA". From Rfam's summary of the family: Transfer RNA (tRNA) molecules are approximately 80 nucleotides in length. Their secondary structure includes four short double-helical elements and three loops (D, anti-codon, and T loops). Further hydrogen bonds mediate the characteristic L-shaped molecular structure. tRNAs have two regions of fundamental functional importance: the anti-codon, which is responsible for specific mRNA codon recognition, and the 3' end, to which the tRNAs corresponding amino acid is attached (by aminoacyl-tRNA synthetases). tRNAs cope with the degeneracy of the genetic code in two manners: having more than one tRNA (with a specific anti-codon) for a particular amino acid; and 'wobble' base-pairing, i.e. permitting non-standard base-pairing at the 3rd anti-codon position. The record is from Rfam by way of RNAcentral. Lineage: Duplodnaviria; Heunggongvirae; Uroviricota; Caudoviricetes.
GGGGCAUUGGUCUAGCGGUCUAGGACGUCGGCUUUUCACGUCGAAGGACACGGGUUCAAAUCCCGUAUGCCCUA